GCCGGUGUGAUGGAAUUGGCAGACGUGCCAGACUCAAAAUCUGGUGGUGGCAACACCGUACCGGUUCGACCCCGGUCACCGGCACCA
RNAcentral lists this transfer RNA (87 nucleotides) under Clostridia bacterium. Its description in RNAcentral is "tRNA-Leu". It matches the Rfam family "tRNA". From Rfam's summary of the family: Transfer RNA (tRNA) molecules are approximately 80 nucleotides in length. Their secondary structure includes four short double-helical elements and three loops (D, anti-codon, and T loops). RNAcentral also lists the same sequence under 1 other name. Lineage: Bacteria; Bacillati; Bacillota; Clostridia. The record is from RNAcentral.